AUGGAGCGGACUGACUUGGGAAGUGAGCGGGUGACCCCAGCCUGGACCGCAGGUGGCGGGAGCUGUCCUGAGGGGGGAGGAGAGAGAGGAGAAGGGCCCCAGGAAGGAAAGCAGGCCACACCGCGGUGGGGACUUUGCUUGUGUGCCCCCUCCCCUCUUCGUAGCCAGCAAUUCCUGCCAGAAAGGCACCUGCCUCUCGGAACGGUAGGUCUCCCCUCAGACAAGAGGGGCAGAGGCCUCGAAGAUGAUGGGAAGGGGGCGCCACUGCCCAGGAAAAGGGGCAGAAUCAGAAUCUGUGCUUUGAGACUGAAAAGAAAAGCCUCCCCAAAUGCCAGCAAUCGGUGCAUCUCCAUCAUCAUAAUUUCUCGCCUUUCUUUUUCUGCAGAGAUCGGCAGCCUCUCCCCAGCAGGCUCAAGAGCCCUGGGGCCAUACAGACCCCUCCAGCCUGAAGCCUGGACACCUUGGCCUGGGAGGAAAGGCCUGGAGCGACAGCAUGGGGUCCCCAGCACAACGCUGGCACAACACCCUGCCCACAAUGACGGAAAAGCACCCCUACCCGGAAUGCCAGGUGAAACACAGCAAGCCCAGGGACACUUGAACGUCAGAUAAACGACAAAUAAUUGUUUAGCAUGAGUAUAUCCCAUACAAUACUGGGGACAUACUUAUACUAAAAUAUUAUCCUGUGUUUAUCUGAAAUCCACAUUGAACUGGCUUCCUUACUUUUAUUUGCUAAAUCUGGCAACUUUACCUACUCUCCUAAACACACACACACACACAACACACACACACACACACACAUACACACGGCUUAUAAAUGAUUUUUUCGUUAUCUCCAUCUUGGAUUUAACAGUCAAAGAUCAACAAACUACGGAGAAAGUUCUCUGAAGACGUGGGAAGGAAGGAUACAUCUUAGAAGGAAGAAAAGGCUGGACGCUACACUGAGGAAAGCAGAGAUGCUGGCAUGAAAGGCUCAGCAGAUGGGCAGCACCAGCAGGACAGGAGACCCUCCCAGAGAGGCAGCGUGUGACAGCGCAGAGCACGGGGGACAAAGGGACAGGCCCAGAAGUUUCCAGAGAGAACACAAGGUUCUGAUUGUGUUGAAAGGAUCAACCACAAUCUUGGAGGCAGGAAGAAAGGUUGCAGUGCCAUCAAAAUUCUGAGGGAAAUUAUUUCCAGCCUAGAGUUUAUCAGCCCAGCCAUCAAACUAUGCACAAUAAAGACACGCUCAGAAUCGCCA
Molecule: long non-coding RNA, 1237 nt
Filed under: Sus scrofa (pig)
Lineage: Eukaryota; Metazoa; Chordata; Mammalia; Artiodactyla; Suidae
Description: lncRNA (ENSSSCG00030049529.1)
Source: RNAcentral